GACGAACGCUGGCGGCGUGCUUAACACAUGCAAGUCGAACGGAAAGGCCCUGCUUUUGUGGGGUGCUCGAGUGGCGAACGGGUGAGUAACACGUGAGUAACCUGCCCUUGACUUUGGGAUAACUUCAGGAAACUGGGGCUAAUACCGGAUAGGAGCUCCUGCUGCAUGGUGGGGGUUGGAAAGUUUCGGCGGUUGGGGAUGGACUCGCGGCUUAUCAGCUUGUUGGUGGGGUAGUGGCUUACCAAGGCUUUGACGGGUAGCCGGCCUGAGGGGGUGACCGGCCACACUGGGACUGAGAUACGGCCCAGACUCCUACGGGAGGCAGCAGUGGGGAAUAUUGCACAAUGGGCGGAAGCCUGAUGCAGCAACGCCGCGUGCGGGAUGACGGCCUUCGGGUUGUAAACCGCUUUCGCCUGUGACGAAGCGUGAGUGACGGUAAUGGGUAAAGAAGCACCGGCUAACUACGUG
RNAcentral lists this ribosomal RNA (468 nucleotides) under uncultured bacterium. RNAcentral describes it as "partial 16S ribosomal RNA". It matches the Rfam family "Bacterial small subunit ribosomal RNA", at positions 28 to 507 of the family's 1533-position model. The record is from RNAcentral.